CCUACGGGAGGCAGCAGUCGGGAAUAUUGCGCAAUGGAGGAAAGUCUGACGCAGUGACGCCGCGUGCAGGAAGAAGGCCUUCGGAUCGUAAACUGCUUUAGACAGGGAAGAAAAAAGACAGUACCUGUAGAAUAACCUCCGGCUAACUACGGGCCAGCUGCCGCGGUAAUACGUAGGGAGCAAGCGUUAUCCGGAUUUAUUGGGUGUAAAGGGUGCGUAGACGGAGAAGCAAGUUAGUUGUGAAAUCCCUCGGCUUAACUGAGGAACGGCAACUAAAACUACUGCCCUUGAGUACUUGAGAGGAAAGUGGAAUUCCAAGUGUAGCAGUGAAAUGCGUAGAUAUUAGGAAGAACACCAGUGGCGAAGGCAACUUUCUGGACAGUAACUGACGUUCAGGCACGAAAGCGUGGGGAGCAAACAGGAUUAGAUACCCGAGUAGUC
RNAcentral lists this ribosomal RNA (441 nucleotides) under uncultured bacterium. RNAcentral's name for it is "partial 16S ribosomal RNA". It matches the Rfam family "Bacterial small subunit ribosomal RNA", at positions 338 to 795 of the family's 1533-position model. The record is from RNAcentral.